RNAcentral lists this ribosomal RNA (479 nucleotides) under uncultured bacterium. RNAcentral's name for it is "partial 16S ribosomal RNA". It matches the Rfam family "Bacterial small subunit ribosomal RNA", at positions 28 to 507 of the family's 1533-position model. The record is from RNAcentral.
GAUGAACGCUAGCGGGAGGCCUAACACAUGCAAGCCGAGCGGUAGAGUUUCUUCGGAAACUUGAGAGCGGCGCACGGGUGCGUAACACGUGUGCAACCUACCUUUAUCUGGGGGAUAGCCUUUCGAAAGGAAGAUUAAUACCCCAUAAUAUAAUGAUUGGCAUCAAUUAUUAUUGAAAACUCCGGUGGAUAGAGAUGGGCACGCGCAAGAUUAGAUAGUUGGUGAGGUAACGGCUCACCAAGUCAAUGAUCUUUAGGGGUCCUGAGAGGGAGAUCCCCCACACUGGUACUGAGACACGGACCAGACUCCUACGGGAGGCAGCAGUGAGGAAUAUUGAACAAUGGGUGAGAGCCUGAUCCAGCCAUCCCGCGUGAAGGAGGACGGUCCUAUGGAUUGUAAACUUCUUUUGUACAGGGAUAAACCUACCCUCGUGAGGGUAGCUGAAGGUACUGUACGAAUAAGCACCGGCUAACUCCGUG